GUGACCAAUGUGUGUGUGGGAGCAGGCACAGAAUGGGGCAUGUUCUGCAGAGUGCUGCCAGAGUGGGCACCACGUGGGCCCUGCGCUGGGAUUAAUGUUUGAACAGCACUCAUCCUAUAAAUCUCUCUCUGAAGCUUUCUCAGAACAAACAGCAGAGAACAAGGCAUCUGUCUGACACUGACAGAGCUCCAACCUGUGCAUCAGGCAGGGAGUGCUGUCAGUGCAGCCCCACGUGCCGCCAGCACUGUGCCAGGAGCUGCCUCCAUGCUCAUGUGCAAGGAGAAAGAGUCAUUGAGAUUAAUUGCAGAACGGCAUAUGCAACGUGAUGCAGGCAGUGCAGCGCAGUGAUGGGACGCAGCGGUUCGGGGCGGCCUGGUCCUGCAGCACAGCACUGCUGCUCCUCGCAUAUAUGGUGGCACAGAGCCCAGCACUGCCCCCCUGUGCAGCCCUCAGGAACAGAGCUCAGAAUUCACAGAUCUGCAGCAGAAUGGAAAUUUUUUCUUCUUUGUGAAAGGGACUUUCCAACCAAUGAAGCUGGUCUUAGUGGUGUGGUCAUCUCAUGGGUUCUUAAGUGCAUGUUGAAACCCAGCAUGUUUCCAGUAUGUUCCAUGUCAAUGCUUUUCCAGCUGUCUCUAUUUUCUCUUCUGUUUCUCCUCCUUUCCCCAUUCCUCUUUCCCCAGCACGUGUGCAAUGCAUGUUGCCCUUGGUGAAUGAAGAAAAUGAACAAUAAAAGUGCAAGUUUAAUGGCGGGGAGAAUGGGCCAGAGAGACAGAAUUAGAGGGAAGGUACCAAUAAAGAGGAAAUCUAAUCAGAAUGGAAAAUUCCCAUGGAAAAAAAGGAGAAGUGCAGUUGCUGGGAGGUGGAGGCAGAGCCUGGUUUCACUGCUCAUUGGAGCACACGAGUUGUGUUCCCACUGCUGACGCCUGGUGCGGUGGUGGGAGAUGAGCAUCGCUGUCUGUGUUGCUGAACCAAUCUCUCCUGGGACCAAACACAUCACUCAGAUUGUUUCAUAAUGUUUAAUUUUGCAUUAGGCACAGAAUGCACUGUUUCUGUGUUGUGUAAUCACACGCUCAGGCUGCCUACGUGCUGCUGAGCGAUGACAUUUUUUCCCUUUUCUCCAUCUGCAGUGCUGCAAAGAAUGCUCAAUUUCUGGUACAAAUAAUAAAUGCAAAAUGACUUUUUGACCCAGAAGCCAAAGCAUAGGUUUUGAACAAAGGAAUAAGGAUGUUCUUUUCAACUGGUCCUCUCAAACGGUCUCAUGUUGGUGCAGCUUUAUUCUGUGUACUGCAAAAACAUCCAUGGGAGAUGGGACACGGCUCAGACAGGGCAGAGUACUGCUGCUGUGUGUGCUCACAGUGCAGCACACGCAUCCCAUUGGGCUCCAGCUCAUGGCUCCGGUGCACCGUGAAGUGCUGAGGGCUGCGGUUAAUUAGAACAGGUAAUGGCAGAAGACAGCCUGGCUCUAAAGGCUGCAGUAAUCCUGGGAAAAGUUCAUUGUUCUUUAUUUCUGCUUUGAUAAUUAACUACCUGAGUCAUAGAACUUUAUACAUAAUUGUUAUUAAGUGUCACAUGCGUGAGCAGCACACAGCUGCACCAGAUACAUGGUGCUGACAGAGCUGUUCUGAGCACAACCUCAAUCCUGGAGCAUAGCAAGGACAGCACAGCACGGCACAGCAUGGCACGACACAGC
Molecule: long non-coding RNA, 1690 nt
Organism: Gallus gallus (chicken)
Lineage: Eukaryota; Metazoa; Chordata; Aves; Galliformes; Phasianidae
Source: Ensembl